GAUGAACGCUGGCGGCGUGCCUAACACAUGCAAGUCGAGCGAGAAACCUGCAAUUGAAACUUCGGUAGAUUUUGCGGGCGGAAAGCGGCGGACGGGUGAGUAACGCGUAGGCAACCUGCCCUUUGCAGAGGGAUAGCAACGGGAAACUGUUAUUAAAACCUCAUAAUACCGACAUGUCAAAUGACAAGACGGUCAAAGAUUUAUCGGCAAAGGAUGGGCCUGCGUCUGAUUAGUUAGUUGGUAGGGUAACGGCCUACCAAGGCAGCGAUCAGUAGCCGACCUGAGAGGGUGAUCGGCCACAUUGGAACUGAGACACGGUCCAAACUCCUACGGGAGGCAGCAGUGGGGAAUAUUGCACAAUGGGCGAAAGCCUGAUGCAGCAACGCCGCGUGAAGGAUGAAGGCCUUUGGGUCGUAAACUUCUGUCCUUGGGGAAGAAAAAAAUGACGGUACCCCUGGAGGAAGUCCCGGCUAACUACGUGCCAGCAGCCGCGGUAA
RNAcentral lists this ribosomal RNA (497 nucleotides) under uncultured bacterium. RNAcentral's name for it is "partial 16S ribosomal RNA". It matches the Rfam family "Bacterial small subunit ribosomal RNA", at positions 28 to 523 of the family's 1533-position model. The record is from RNAcentral.